Molecule: ribosomal RNA, 512 nt
Filed under: uncultured bacterium
Lineage: Bacteria
Description: bacterial SSU rRNA
Rfam family: Bacterial small subunit ribosomal RNA
Source: RNAcentral
CGCUGGCGGCGUGCCUAAUACAUGCAAGUCGAACGGUCUUUCUAUGGAAGCUUGCUUCCACUGAGAAGAUAGUGGCGGACGGGUGAGUAACACGUGGGUAACCUGCCCAUAAGAGGGGGAUAACAUCCGGAAACGGGUGCUAAUACCGCAUAGUUUUCUUGAUCGCAUGAUCGGGAAAGGAAAGACGGCCUUUGUGCUGUCGCUUAUGGAUGGACCCGCGGCGUAUUAGUUAGUUGGUGAGGUAAUGGCUCACCAAGACGAUGAUACGUAGCCGACCUGAGAGGGUGAUCGGCCACAUUGGGACUGAGACACGGCCCAAACUCCUACGGGAGGCAGCAGUAGGGAAUCUUCCGCAAUGGACGAAAGUCUGACGGAGCAACGCCGCGUGAGUGAAGAAGGUUUUUCCGGAUCGUAAAACUCUGUUGUCAGAGAAGAACAAGUUGGAGAGUAACUGCUCCAGCCUUGACGGUAUCUGACCAGAAAGCCACGGCUAACUACGUGCCAGCAGCCGC